This 1281-nucleotide ribosomal RNA is filed under the name human gut metagenome. RNAcentral describes it as "bacterial LSU rRNA". It matches the Rfam family "Bacterial large subunit ribosomal RNA", at positions 698 to 1977 of the family's 2925-position model. The record is from RNAcentral.
AGUCAGUGGGGGUAGACGCGAAACCAAGUGAUCUACACUUGGCCAGGAUGAAGUCCCGGUAACACGGGAUGGAGGUCCGCACCAAUAAGCGUUGAAAAGCUUCUGGAUGAGCCGAGUGUAGGAGUGAAAGGCCAAUCAAACUUGGAGAUAGCUCGUACUCCCCGAAAGGCAUUUAGGUGCCGCGUCGGAUGGUCACCGUGAGAGGUAGAGCGACCGAUAGGACAAGAGGGCUUCACCGCCUAUCGAGUCCUGACGAACUCCGAAUGCUCACGGUCUGCAGUCCGGCAGUAAGGGGGCGGGUGCUAAGGUCCGUCCCCGAGAGGAGAAGAAUCCAGACCGCCGUCUAAGGUCCCGGAGUUCUGCCUGAGUUAGUCUAACGAAGUCUGGUCCCUAUGACAGCUAGGAUGUUGGCUUGGAAGCAGCCAUUCAUUCAAAGAGUGCGUAACAGCUCACUAGUCGAGGGUCCGGGCAUGGAUAAUAAUCGGGUAUAAGGCAGACACCGAAGGCGCGGGAUAGCAUUUAAGAAAGUAUCGGUAGGGGAGCAUACUCACAGCGUGGAAUGGUGUACGUAAGUUAUCCUGGAGCGGUGAGUAAAGCAAAUGUAGGAAUAAGUAACGAUAAGGAGGGUUAGAUUCCCUCCCGCUGUAAGACCAAGGUUUCCCGGGCAAUGCCAAUCAGCCCGGGGUCAGUCGGGUCCUAAGUCUAAGCCGAACGGCGAUGGCGAUGGCAGAGACGGUUAAUAUUCCGUCACUGCCGCAUGGGGCGACGUGGAGACGGAGCAGUGAAACCACCGCGGGGCGACGGAAGUCCCCGUUGAAGAGUGUAGGUGUUGAGGAUGGCAGGCAAAUCCACCGUCCGAGCUGAACUUGAUAGUAUGGAGUCUUCUUCGGAAGAAUCCAAUAGUGUGGGUAAUCAUACUCCCGAGAAAAUCCGCUAAGCUUAACCCAUGCGGCACCCGUACCGCAAACGGACACACGUGGUCGGGUAGAACAUACUAAGGCGUUGAGAGAUUCAUGGUUAAGGAACUAGGCAAAUUGACCCUGUAACUUCGGGAUAAAGGGUCCUCGUGAUGAGCGAGGCGCAGAGAAUAGGUCCAGGCAACUGUUUAACAAAAACACAGGGCUGUGCAAACUCGAAAGAUGACGUAUACAGCCUGACACCUGCCCGGUGCCGGAAGGUUAAGAGGAGAUGUCACUCGCAAGAGGAAGCAUUGAAUUGAAGCCCCGGUAAACGGCGGCCGUAACUAUAACGGUCCUAAGGUAGCGAAAUUCCUUGUCGGGU